This 424-nucleotide ribosomal RNA is filed under the name uncultured bacterium. Its description in RNAcentral is "bacterial SSU rRNA". It matches the Rfam family "Bacterial small subunit ribosomal RNA", at positions 229 to 645 of the family's 1533-position model. The record is from RNAcentral.
GCCGAUGUCAGAUUAGCUAGUUGGUGGGGUAAAGGCCUACCAAGGCGACGAUCUGUAGCGGGUCUGAGAGGAUGAUCCGCCACACUGGGACUGAGACACGGCCCAGACUCCUACGGGAGGCAGCAGUGGGGAAUUUUGGACAAUGGGCGCAAGCCUGAUCCAGCCAUGCCGCGUGCGGGACGAAGGCCUUCGGGUUGUAAACCGCUUUCAGCCGGAAAGAAAUCGCCAAGGCUAAUAUCCUUGGUGGAUGACGGUACCGGAAGAAGAAGCACCGGCUAACUACGUGCCAGCAGCCGCGGUAAUACGUAGGGUGCGAGCGUUAAUCGGAAUUACUGGGCGUAAAGGGUGCGCAGGCGGUUUUGCAAGCCAGACGUGAAAUCCCCGGGCUUAACCUGGGAACUGGGUUUGAAACUACAAAGCUAAC